RNAcentral lists this transfer RNA (74 nucleotides) under Escherichia coli. RNAcentral describes it as "tRNA-Val". It matches the Rfam family "tRNA". Rfam says of the family: Transfer RNA (tRNA) molecules are approximately 80 nucleotides in length. Lineage: Bacteria; Pseudomonadati; Pseudomonadota; Gammaproteobacteria; Enterobacterales; Enterobacteriaceae. The record is from RNAcentral. RNAcentral also lists the same sequence under 2 other names.
GGGUGAUUAGCUCAGCUGGGAGAGCACCUCCCUUACAAGGAGGGGGUCGGCGGUUCGAUCCCGUCAUCACCCAC